RNAcentral lists this unclassified non-coding RNA (2938 nucleotides) under Hevea brasiliensis (rubber tree). The record is from RNAcentral. Lineage: Eukaryota; Viridiplantae; Streptophyta; Magnoliopsida; Malpighiales; Euphorbiaceae.
CAAUUUCAAAGAAAAUGAUGCAUGCCCAAUUCUACAAACAAUAACACCUAGCAGGAACUAGGAUAAAGGGGAAAGAUUCUGCCAAAUUAGGGAUGGUGACCCAAAAUUCUGCCAAAUUGGUGUAGAAGAAUGGCAUAAGGAAUGAAAUUACAAUUAUACAAUUGAAAGACUUAUUUUCAUGAGGUACAACUGAUAGGUUUCAACCAUUGAAUCUCUGAGAUGUAAUAAUACAACAAUACUCGUAGCAUGAAUGCCUAAAAGUAAUGAUCAUAAGAAUAAGUAAAAAUUACAUGAAUGAAACAAGAAUGAGUCUCAUCCAGUUUGACUCCGUUUUCUCCAUCAAUUUACAACUCCUACAACUUGCAUUUGCAUUUGACCUAGUAAAUUCUCUCUGCAGUAGAUACUGGGCGCAAGAAGACAACAACCACUGUAAUAUUAUCUUUGCUACCUCUCUCUACAGCUUCUGUUGCCAAUCUCUUGGAGCACAUUCCAGGUUCUUUCACUGUGUCCCUGAUUAUGCUUAUAACCUCAGCAUUGCUCACGACAUCCCAAAGUCCAUCACUAGCCAUCACCAAAAAUUCAUCCUCUGCUGCUGACAGAGUGGUUUCAGUUAUCUCAGGUUCUGCAGUUACAGCAGGCUUCAAAUCGUCAUCACCAAUGGAGCGAGUGACCUGGAGCGCAGCAGGACCAACCCUCCAAGUAUCAACUUGCCAUUUAACCUGUCCCCCUGCACUAAUAACACGCUCCCUUUCCUCAAGACAACUUGCAACGUGAUCCUUACUUAAAGGAAAGGCAUCGCCAGCACGACACAAAAUUGUCCUGCAAUCACCAGCAUUAGCAACAAAAAGCUUGUUUCCAACUAUUAAAGCUGCAACAGCAGCGCAGCCAGGAUGCCAGUCUUUCUGAACAACUCCCUUAGAUUUACGGUGAGAAUCGAGUUCAUUUCGAAAUGCAGCAUCGGUACUAACAAAUGCUUCAAAUAAUGCAUCGAUGGGACUUCUUAUAGAAGCUAAACUCUGCGGAAAUCCUGGCAAAGACUGAACUGAAAACUCAGCUGCCGCUGCACCUGCAAUCCAGUCACAACUAUACCAUCAAUAUAUAAAAAUAGCAUUAGAAUUAAAUGAACAAAACAGGCUGAGGAAGAAUGACUGUGACACUAGUAGGAUCUUAGAAAACUUAGCAAGUCUUACAUUCUCAGUUACCAACUUCCAGAAAUUUUAUCCAUUGCCAUUUCUAACUUAAAACAACUAAAAACUAAUCAAAUGCCCAAUCAACAUGUAAAGGAAUCCUUUUUUGCAUGCCAUUUCAGAUAAUAACAAGAGAAAUGGCUAAACAUGGUAGACCUAUUCUUUGCACUGCAAGAUACACACAACUUGCUGUCCACAUCAGAUCACAGAAUGCUCAGCAGAAAUUUUGCAAUAUAAAAUUCUUUGGUCAAUGUAAGCCACAUUUUCAAGGAUUUUCUUCCACGAGAUUUGCUUAAAAAAUGGAAAAUAUGAUGGUGGGAAGCAACUUUCUAAGGAAAGAUCAUCUUGAAAUUAUAAAAGAUCUCAGAGGUUUGCGCUAUUUCUUUAUCUAGGAAUCAUUUCAUCAGUGACGUCGAUAAAGAUUAUACUAGUAACUUAGCCUCAAGUUCUCCAAAUUAAUUGUCUACUGAACUCUAGUUGUCAUUUGAACUAUUCUUCCUCAAAUUCAGUCUCAAAAGACCGUUAGCAAUGAAAGUCACCCCAUCGCACACCUCUAUGACCAUCAAAGAUGCCAAAAACAUGGAUAACCUUUUCAUUGCACAUGUGGGGCAUAAGGAAGUGUGCAUCCUCCAUGAUUUCCCUUCUCCCACAUGUAGCAAAGGAUCCCCAAGAAAGUACCGGAUGAUAAGCCAAGGGUUCAUUCAAAGAAUCAAGACAAUUAUUCGUACGUGAAUUAACAACUAAAGAAGCUUUCUUUGAUAAUUGUUUUCCCUGAGUGGACCAGUUAACACUCUCAAGAAAUGUUUGAAGGUUGUUGGCACCAUCAAUGAAAUGCUCAAUCUCUAAAACAGAAGAUGCUCCAGGGGCGAAAUUUUCUUCCAUUGAUUUUUUUCUGUGCUCCAAAAUUGGACAAAUUUUGAAAAUGAUAUCACUAAAAGAAGGCCUAUUCUGAGGAUUUUCAUCCCAACACCUCUGUAUCAAUGUCAGCAUACUUGUGGAUGCCCCUGACUCAGGACCGGCAAGAACAGGUCGCAAUUUACAAGACACCACUGCUGCAGUAAGUUGCUGCUUAGUAUAGUUCAUCUCCAAUACAGUAUAAGCCUGCCAGCAGUUGAGGAGUCAAACCAAACAUUGUUUGUAAUAUUUAGGGGUUAACUUCCUCUUGUCACUAAAUAUCUAACUUCAUCUUGUCACUAAAUAUCAAGUCAAUAAAUUUCAGUCUCUUAAAAAUCAUCUGUUGAAAUUUAGAAUGAUAAAAGAGAUAGGAGAAAAUAACAAGAGAAUGAUUUACUUGGUUCGGCUACCAAGAGUCCAUGUCCACGGACACAAAGCCUCAAAGGAUCCAUUUCAUUCACUUGUGUGUCUAACAUAAUAUAAAAGAGUCCAUAUUUAUAAUGGAAAUACAUGGAUCCUAACAAUGAGCCAUAAAUCACACAUUUAUACAAGCAUUAAUCAAGCCAAUGAUUUUGCUAAUCAAUCACAUGAUUUUCAUAUAAUCAUGAGAUUCUUCAAUACUCACUCUCAAUUUGUGCAUCGACUGAUGACUAAAUUCAAAACUUGUAAAUGGUGAAGAUGGAUUAUUGAAUACGACCAGAAUGCUCAUUAGUGCUGAAAUUGGACAAAAAUGAAGAAAUAGAUGAAAGGUGAAGAAAACACAGGUUUCUCAACAAUUGUAGUUGAAGUGGCUCCUUUUUUAAACAUGAUAGAAGACUGAGAGUGUAAUCCAAACGUUUUUUUUUUUUUUUUUUUUU